Molecule: non-coding RNA, 27 nt
Filed under: Drosophila melanogaster (fruit fly)
Lineage: Eukaryota; Metazoa; Arthropoda; Insecta; Diptera; Drosophilidae
Also listed under: 1 other name
Source: RNAcentral
AGGGUGCGGCUGGAUCACCUCCUUUCU